This is a non-coding RNA of Phascolarctos cinereus (koala), 505 nucleotides long. NCBI's taxonomy places the organism in Eukaryota, Metazoa, Chordata, Mammalia, Diprotodontia, Phascolarctidae. The record is from RefSeq and is a predicted model, not a curated record.
UAGGCUCAUGGAAAGGAUCUUGGGGACAGUUCCAGUAGCACACACAGCAACAGGCGUGAGCUGGACCUGAUGCUAUUACCAUAUGACUUUGAUUUCCUCUGCUGGCUACCUAUUAAAAGGAUUAUUCUGCAGUCGUUGCAGACGAACGUUACAUGCAGGCACAUCCAGUCUGCUGUUCACAGGACUGCAGAGUGAAAUUCCACACAUCCAUGCAAAGUGGCAGCCACCCACAGUUCCUCCACCUUUCCACAACUUCCCAGAAGAAGAUCUUUGCUAAGAAUCACUCACUUGAUGCCCUCACAAGCAUGAUGCUUCCAGAACAGACCCACCGUAUGUAUACUUGAAGUGGUCGAGCUAUUCUUCCUACCUUAUGAAGUACAGAAGUCAUUUUUACAACUUUAACAAGAACAACAACACAGGUUCAAAUUGCACUCUGCUAAAGGUGACUGCUCCUGAAGAACUUUCUUCUGAAGAUAUAGAGGAGCUGACAGAAUAAAAAAGACCC